This 722-nucleotide small RNA is filed under the name Pongo abelii (Sumatran orangutan). RNAcentral describes it as "retained intron". The record is from RNAcentral. Lineage: Eukaryota; Metazoa; Chordata; Mammalia; Primates; Hominidae.
GAGGGGUACCCUGCCCUGCUAUGGGAGCCCCAGUCUGAGGGGACAUGUGGCUGGCCUACCCCCAGAGAUGUCUGUGAGGCCAUGGAGUACCUGGAGGGCAACAACUUCGUGCAUCGAGACCUGGCUGCCCGCAAUGUGCUGGUGUCUGAGGACAACGUGGCCAAGGUCAGCGACUUUGGUCUCACCAAGGAGGCGUCCAGCACCCAGGACACGGGCAAGCUGCCAGUCAAGUGGACAGCCCCUGAGGCCCUGAGAGAGAAGGUGGGGCUGGCCUCCCCUGGGGCCUACAGAGGUGGGCAGGAGUCCUGGGUCACUCCCCACCCCUGGAGUCCCAGGAUCUGACGCUGCUUCUUCCAUCCACAUGGCAGAAAUUCUCCACUAAGUCUGACGUGUGGAGUUUCGGAAUCCUUCUCUGGGAAAUCUACUCCUUUGGGCGAGUGCCUUAUCCAAGAAUUCCCCUGAAGGACGUCGUCCCUCGGGUGGAGAAGGGCUACAAGAUGGAUGCCCCCGACGGCUGCCCGCCCGCAGUCUAUGAGGUCAUGAAGAACUGCUGGCACCUGGACGCCGCCAUGCGGCCCUCCUUCCUACAGCUCCGAGAGCAGCUUGAGCACAUCAAAACCCACGAGCUGCACCUGUGACGGCUGGCCUCCGCCCGGGUCAUGGGCCUGUGGGGACUGAACCUGGAAGAUCAUGGACCUGGUGCCCCUGCUCACUGGGCCUGA